Molecule: ribosomal RNA, 561 nt
Filed under: Klebsiella quasipneumoniae subsp. similipneumoniae
Lineage: Bacteria; Pseudomonadati; Pseudomonadota; Gammaproteobacteria; Enterobacterales; Enterobacteriaceae
Description: partial 23S ribosomal RNA
Rfam family: Bacterial large subunit ribosomal RNA
Source: RNAcentral
UAUAAUGGGUCAGCGACUUAUAUUCUGUAGCAAGGUUAACCGUAUAGGGGAGCCGCAGGGAAACCGAGUCUUAACUGGGCGUUAAGUUGCAGGGUAUAGACCCGAAACCCGGUGAUCUAGCCAUGGGCAGGUUGAAGGUUGGGUAACACUAACUGGAGGACCGAACCGACUAAUGUUGAAAAAUUAGCGGAUGACUUGUGGCUGGGGGUGAAAGGCCAAUCAAACCGGGAGAUAGCUGGUUCUCCCCGAAAGCUAUUUAGGUAGCGCCUCGUGAACUCAUCUUCGGGGGUAGAGCACUGUUUCGGCUAGGGGGUCAUCCCGACUUACCAACCCGAUGCAAACUACGAAUACCGAAGAAUGUUAUCACGGGAGACACACGGCGGGUGCUAACGUCCGUCGUGAAGAGGGAAACAACCCAGACCGCCAGCUAAGGUCCCAAAGUCAUGGUUAAGUGGGAAACGAUGUGGGAAGGCACAGACAGCCAGGAUGUUGGCUUAGAAGCAGCCAUCAUUUAAAGAAAGCGUAAUAGCUCACUGGUCGAGUCGGCCUGCGCGGAAGAUG